Molecule: transfer RNA, 71 nt
Filed under: Candidatus Pacebacteria bacterium CG10_big_fil_rev_8_21_14_0_10_42_12
Lineage: Bacteria; Bacillati; Minisyncoccota
Also listed under: 1 other name
Description: tRNA-Gln
Rfam family: tRNA
About the family: Transfer RNA (tRNA) molecules are approximately 80 nucleotides in length. Their secondary structure includes four short double-helical elements and three loops (D, anti-codon, and T loops). Further hydrogen bonds mediate the characteristic L-shaped molecular structure. tRNAs have two regions of fundamental functional importance: the anti-codon, which is responsible for specific mRNA codon recognition, and the 3' end, to which the tRNAs corresponding amino acid is attached (by aminoacyl-tRNA synthetases). tRNAs cope with the degeneracy of the genetic code in two manners: having more than one tRNA (with a specific anti-codon) for a particular amino acid; and 'wobble' base-pairing, i.e. permitting non-standard base-pairing at the 3rd anti-codon position.
Source: RNAcentral
UCCCGAGUAGUGAAGUGGCAUCACGACAGGUUCUGACCCUGUUAUCCCAGGUUCGACCCCUGGCUCGGGAU